RNAcentral lists this ribosomal RNA (253 nucleotides) under uncultured bacterium. RNAcentral describes it as "partial 16S ribosomal RNA". It matches the Rfam family "Bacterial small subunit ribosomal RNA", at positions 524 to 776 of the family's 1533-position model. The record is from RNAcentral.
UACAGAGGUCCCAAGCGUUGUUCGGAUUUACUGGGCGUAAAGGGAGCGUAGGUGGCAUUCUAAGUCUGAUGUGAAAGCUCUGAGCUUAACUCAGAAAUGGCAUUAGAUACUAGUUUGCUUGAGGAUUGGAGGGGAGAUUGGAAUUCUUGGUGUAGCAGUGAAAUGCGUAGAUAUCAAGAGGAACACCAGUGGCGAAGGCGAAUCUCUGGACAAUUCCUGACACUGAUGCUCGAAAGCUAGGGGAGCAAACAGG